This 254-nucleotide ribosomal RNA is filed under the name uncultured bacterium. RNAcentral's name for it is "partial 16S ribosomal RNA". It matches the Rfam family "Bacterial small subunit ribosomal RNA", at positions 524 to 776 of the family's 1533-position model. The record is from RNAcentral.
UACGUAGGGGCCUAGCGUUGUCCGGAUUUAUUGGGCGUAAAGAGCUCGUAGGCGGCUUGGUUAGUCAGGUGUGAAAUCUCCACGCUCAACGUGGAGGCGCCACCUGAAACUGCCAUGGCUUGAGUCCGGUAGGGGAGUGUGGAAUUCCCGGUGUAGCGGUGAAAUGCGCAGAUAUCGGGAGGAACACCGGUGGCGAAGGCGGAUCUCUGGGCCUUACCUGACGCUGAGGCGCGAAAGCUAGGGGAGCGAACAGG